UGGGGAAUUUUGGACAAUGGGCGAAAGCCUGAUCCAGCAAUGCCGCGUGUGUGAAGAAGGCCUUCGGGUUGUAAAGCACUUUUGUCCGUAAAGAAAACGCCGUGGUUAAUACCCGUGGCGGAUGACGGUACCGGAAGAAUAAGCACCGGCUAACUACGUGCCAGCAGCCGCGGUAAUACGUAGGGUGCAAGCGUUAAUCGGAAUUACUGGGCGUAAAGCGUGCGCAGGCGGUCCGCUAAGACAGAUGUGAAAUCCCCGGGCUUAACCUGGGAACUGCAUUUGUGACUGGCGGGCUAGAGUAUGGCAGAGGGGGGUAGAAUUCCACGUGUAGCAGUGAAAUGCGUAGAGAUGUGGAGGAAUACCGAUGGCGAAGGCAGCCCCCUGGGCCAAUACUGACGCUCAUGCACGAAAGCGUGGGGAGCAAACAGG
Molecule: ribosomal RNA, 429 nt
Filed under: bacterium
Lineage: Bacteria
Description: partial 16S ribosomal RNA
Rfam family: Bacterial small subunit ribosomal RNA
Source: RNAcentral